This 75-nucleotide transfer RNA is filed under the name Styela plicata. RNAcentral describes it as "transfer RNA-Cys". Lineage: Eukaryota; Metazoa; Chordata; Ascidiacea; Stolidobranchia; Styelidae. The record is from RNAcentral.
GUGUAGUUUAAUUGAGUUGAAAAUAUAUGUCUGCAAAACAUAAGAUAUGGGGAAAAGAGUUUGUUUCAUUAUAUU